ACAGUGAUGGUUCAGCGGUAGGAUUCUUGCCUUCCAUGCAGGAAAUUCAGGUUCAAUUCCCAGCCAGUGUA
Molecule: transfer RNA, 71 nt
Filed under: Loxodonta africana (African savanna elephant)
Lineage: Eukaryota; Metazoa; Chordata; Mammalia; Proboscidea; Elephantidae
Rfam family: tRNA
About the family: Transfer RNA (tRNA) molecules are approximately 80 nucleotides in length. Their secondary structure includes four short double-helical elements and three loops (D, anti-codon, and T loops).
Source: Rfam by way of RNAcentral